Long non-coding RNA from Rattus norvegicus (Norway rat), 330 nucleotides. RefSeq lists it as uncharacterized. The record is from RefSeq and is a predicted model, not a curated record. NCBI's taxonomy places the organism in Eukaryota, Metazoa, Chordata, Mammalia, Rodentia, Muridae.
ACUGUUUCAGUGUCUCCCAAGGGCAGAGAACAGAAUGUGCUAACAUAGUUCAGAAUGGUUUCUUUUUCUGUUUUGGAAGUUUUGAGGUGAUUUUCCUUCCACAGUCACUGUGAGAACUUGAUAGAGCUCAAGGGGGACCUCAGAGAUGAUCUCUCCAGUGUGGUCCCAGAAAUUCAAUUGCAGUCCUGGCUGGCCUGUUCUGGCUUUCCCUGGCCCCGUAUGGUAGAAGAGAGCCAACUUCCGUAUUGUCGUCUGACUUGCUGAUCAUGGCAUGUAGUGCGCCUCUCACGUCGACCGUCUUCUGCACGAAAUAAAUAUGUAAACGUGAAA